This 1536-nucleotide ribosomal RNA is filed under the name Escherichia coli. Its description in RNAcentral is "partial 23S ribosomal RNA". It matches the Rfam family "Bacterial large subunit ribosomal RNA", at positions 344 to 1869 of the family's 2925-position model. Lineage: Bacteria; Pseudomonadati; Pseudomonadota; Gammaproteobacteria; Enterobacterales; Enterobacteriaceae. The record is from RNAcentral.
GGAAAGGCGCGCGAUACAGGGUGACAGCCCCGUACACAAAAAUGCACAUGCUGUGAGCUCGAUGAGUAGGGCGGGACACGUGGUAUCCUGUCUGAAUAUGGGGGGACCAUCCUCCAAGGCUAAAUACUCCUGACUGACCGAUAGUGAACCAGUACCGUGAGGGAAAGGCGAAAAGAACCCCGGCGAGGGGAGUGAAAAAGAACCUGAAACCGUGUACGUACAAGCAGUGGGAGCACGCUUAGGCGUGUGACUGCGUACCUUUUGUAUAAUGGGUCAGCGACUUAUAUUCUGUAGCAAGGUUAACCGAAUAGGGGAGCCGAAGGGAAACCGAGUCUUAACUGGGCGUUAAGUUGCAGGGUAUAGACCCGAAACCCGGUGAUCUAGCCAUGGGCAGGUUGAAGGUUGGGUAACACUAACUGGAGGACCGAACCGACUAAUGUUGAAAAAUUAGCGGAUGACUUGUGGCUGGGGGUGAAAGGCCAAUCAAACCGGGAGAUAGCUGGUUCUCCCCGAAAGCUAUUUAGGUAGCGCCUCGUGAAUUCAUCUCCGGGGGUAGAGCACUGUUUCGGCAAGGGGGUCAUCCCGACUUACCAACCCGAUGCAAACUGCGAAUACCGGAGAAUGUUAUCACGGGAGACACACGGCGGGUGCUAACGUCCGUCGUGAAGAGGGAAACAACCCAGACCGCCAGCUAAGGUCCCAAAGUCAUGGUUAAGUGGGAAACGAUGUGGGAAGGCCCAGACAGCCAGGAUGUUGGCUUAGAAGCAGCCAUCAUUUAAAGAAAGCGUAAUAGCUCACUGGUCGAGUCGGCCUGCGCGGAAGAUGUAACGGGGCUAAACCAUGCACCGAAGCUGCGGCAGCGACACUAUGUGUUGUUGGGUAGGGGAGCGUUCUGUAAGCCUGUGAAGGUGUACUGUGAGGUAUGCUGGAGGUAUCAGAAGUGCGAAUGCUGACAUAAGUAACGAUAAAGCGGGUGAAAAGCCCGCUCGCCGGAAGACCAAGGGUUCCUGUCCAACGUUAAUCGGGGCAGGGUGAGUCGACCCCUAAGGCGAGGCCGAAAGGCGUAGUCGAUGGGAAACAGGUUAAUAUUCCUGUACUUGGUGUUACUGCGAAGGGGGGACGGAGAAGGCUAUGUUGGCCGGGCGACGGUUGUCCCGGUUUAAGCGUGUAGGCUGGUUUUCCAGGCAAAUCCGGAAAAUCAAGGCUGAGGCGUGAUGACGAGGCACUACGGUGCUGAAGCAACAAAUGCCCUGCUUCCAGGAAAAGCCUCUAAGCAUCAGGUAACAUCAAAUCGUACCCCAAACCGACACAGGUGGUCAGGUAGAGAAUACCAAGGCGCUUGAGAGAACUCGGGUGAAGGAACUAGGCAAAAUGGUGCCGUAACUUCGGGAGAAGGCACGCUGAUAUGUAGGUGAAGUCCCUCGCGGAUGGAGCUGAAAUCAGUCGAAGAUACCAGCUGGCUGCAACUGUUUAUUAAAAACACAGCACUGUGCAAACACGAAAGUGGACGUAUACGGUGUGACGCCUGCCCGGUGC